AGUUCAAGAGGUUUUUUUCUUCUUUCCUUUUUUCUUACAGAACCUGAGAAAAUGGACAGCACUGUUGGGGGCUUGUGAGUUCCUGUCACAGUACUGAGCUUGAACAAUUUCGAUUAAAGCCCCAUGUUUGAGACUGUCAUUAGACCUGCAUUAAAUUACAUAUCUGGAGUGUUAAAAAAUAAAGAGUACAGUAGCUUUUUCUCAGCUACCUAAGGGACAAUAUGUUGCUGCUGAUGCAGGUGAUGAUGAUACAACCCAGCAGAAGAUGAACUUCUUCCCAAAGAUGGAGAGACUACUCCCAGUCUAUGAUAAGGGAACCCCUGUUUUUGGCUGAAACAUCUCUCCUCAACUUUUGUCAUCAGUGACAGAGCUAAGAGUUGAAGCUAGAUCUUCUGUAGCAGAAGAGAACCUGGAACAAAGGAAUUACACAAAUCCUUUGGAAAGAGGAAUGGAGGCCUCCAUG
Lontra canadensis (Northern American river otter) is the source of this 463-nucleotide long non-coding RNA. RefSeq lists it as uncharacterized. The transcript is spliced from 4 exons. The record is from RefSeq and is a predicted model, not a curated record. NCBI's taxonomy places the organism in Eukaryota, Metazoa, Chordata, Mammalia, Carnivora, Mustelidae.